This 512-nucleotide ribosomal RNA is filed under the name Acidithiobacillus sp. enrichment culture DGGE gel band B1. RNAcentral's name for it is "bacterial SSU rRNA". It matches the Rfam family "Bacterial small subunit ribosomal RNA", at positions 966 to 1482 of the family's 1533-position model. The record is from RNAcentral. Lineage: Bacteria; Pseudomonadati; Pseudomonadota; Acidithiobacillia; Acidithiobacillales; Acidithiobacillaceae.
ACUAGAGGCUUGACAUGUCCGGAAUUCUGCAGAGAUGCGGAAGUGCCCUUCGGGGAAUCGGAACACAGGUGCUGCAUGGCUGUCGUCAGCUCGUGUCGUGAGAUGUUGGGUUAAGUCCCGCAACGAGCGCAACCCUUGUCCUUAGUUGCCAGCGGUUCGGCCGGGCACUCUAGGGAGACUGCCGGUGACAAACCGGAGGAAGGUGGGGAUGACGUCAAGUCCUCAUGGCCUUUAUGUCCAGGGCUACACACGUGCUACAAUGGCGCGUACAGAGGGAAGCCAAGCCGCGAGGUGGAGCAGACCCCAGAAAGCGCGUCGUAGUUCGGAUUGCAGUCUGCAACUCGGCUGCAUGAAGUCGGAAUCGCUGGGAAGCGCGGAUCACCAUGCCGCGGUGAAUACGUUCCCGGGCCUUGUACACACCGCCCGUCACACCAUGGGAGUGGAUUGUACCAGAAGCAGCUAGCCUAACCUUCGGGAGGGCGGUUACCACGGUAUGGUUCAUGACUGGGGUG